GCGGUGGUGGUUCGGUGGUAGAACUUUUGCCUUCCAUGCACGAGACCCAGGUUUAUUUCUUGGCCAGCGUA
RNAcentral lists this transfer RNA (71 nucleotides) under Loxodonta africana (African savanna elephant). It matches the Rfam family "tRNA". Rfam says of the family: Transfer RNA (tRNA) molecules are approximately 80 nucleotides in length. The record is from Rfam by way of RNAcentral. Lineage: Eukaryota; Metazoa; Chordata; Mammalia; Proboscidea; Elephantidae.